GAAGAGAAAGAAAAUUCGAUUCCCUUAGUAGCGGCGAGCGAAACGGGAAGAGCCCAAACCAACAAGCUUGCUUGUUGGGGUUGUAGGACACUCUGUACGGAGUUACAAAGGACGACAUUAGACGAAUCAUCUGGAAAGAUGAAUCAAAGAAGGUAAUAAUCCUGUAGUCGAAAAUGUUGUCUCUCUUGAGUGGAUCCUGAGUACGACGGAGCACGUGAAAUUCCGUCGGAAUCUGGGAGGACCAUCUCCUAAGGCUAAAUACUCUCUAGUGACCGAUAGUGAACCAGUACCGUGAGGGAAAGGUGAAAAGCACCCCGGAAGGGGAGUGAAAUAGAACCUGAAACCGUGUGCUUACAAGUAGUCAGAGCCCGUUAAUGGGUGAUGGCGUGCCUUUUGUAGAAUGAACCGGCGAGUUACGAUUUGAUGCAAGGUUAAGCAGUAAAUGUGGAGCCGUAGCGAAAGCGAGUCUGAAUAGGGCGUUUAGUAUUUGGUCGUAGACCCGAAACCAGGUGAUCUACCCUUGGUCAGGUUGAAGUUCAGGUAACACUGAAUGGAGGACCGAACCGACUUACGUUGAAAAGUGAGCGGAUGAACUGAGGGUAGCGGAGAAAUUCCAAUCGAACCUGGAGAUAGCUGGUUCUCUCCGAAAUAGCUUUAGGGCUAGCCUCAAGUGAUGAUUAUUGGAGGUAGAGCACUGUUUGGACGAGGGGCCCCUCUCGGGUUACCGAAUUCAGACAAACUCCGAAUGCCAAUUAAUUUAACUUGGGAGUCAGAACAUGGGUGAUAAGGUCCGUGUUCGAAAGGGAAACAGCCCAGACCACCAGCUAAGGUCCCAAAAUAUAUGUUAAGUGGAAAAGGAUGUGGCGUUGCCCAGACAACUAGGAUGUUGGCUUAGAAGCAGCCAUCAUUUAAAGAGUGCGUAAUAGCUCACUAGUCGAGUGACACUGCGCCGAAAAUGUACCGGGGCUAAACAUAUUACCGAAGCUGUGGAUUGUCCUUUGGACAAUGGUAGGAGAGCGUUCUAAGGGCGUUGAAGCAUGAUCGUAAGGACAUGUGGAGCGCUUAGAAGUGAGAAUGCCGGUGUGAGUAGCGAAAGACGGGUGAGAAUCCCGUCCACCGAUUGACUAAGGUUUCCAGAGGAAGGCUCGUCCGCUCUGGGUUAGUCGGGUCCUAAGCUGAGGCCGACAGGCGUAGGCGAUGGAUAACAGGUUGAUAUUCCUGUACCACCUAUAAUCGUUUUAAUCGAUGGGGGGACGCAGUAGGAUAGGCGAAGCGUGCGAUUGGAUUGCACGUCUAAGCAGUAAGGCUGAGUAUUAGGCAAAUCCGGUACUCGUUAAGGCUGAGCUGUGAUGGGGAGAAGACAUUGUGUCUUCGAGUCGUUGAUUUCACACUGCCGAGAAAAGCCUCUAGAUAGAAAAUAGGUGCCCGUACCGCAAACCGACACAGGUAGUCAAGAUGAGAAUUCUAAGGUGAGCGAGCGAACUCUCGUUAAGGAACUCGGCAAAAUGACCCCGUAACUUCGGGAGAAGGGGUGCUCUUUAGGGUUAACGCCCAGAAGAGCCGCAGUGAAUAGGCCCAAGCGACUGUUUAUCAAAAACACAGGUCUCUGCUAAACCGUAAGGUGAUGUAUAGGGGCUGACGCCUGCCCGGUGCUGGAAGGUUAAGAGGAGUGGUUAGCUUCUGCGAAGCUACGAAUCGAAGCCCCAGUAAACGGCGGCCGUAACUAUAACGGUCCUAAGGUAGCGAAAUUCCUUGUCGGGUAAGUUCCGACCCGCACGAAAGGCGUAACGAUUUGGGCACUGUCUCAACGAGAGACUCGGUGAAAUCAUAGUACCUGUGAAGAUGCAGGUUACCCGCGACAGGACGGAAAGACCCCGUGGAGCUUUACUGUAGCCUGAUAUUGAAAUUCGGCACAGCUUGUACAGGAUAGGUAGGAGCCUUUGAAACGUGAGCGCUAGCUUACGUGGAGGCGCUGGUGGGAUACUACCCUAGCUGUGUUGGCUUUCUAACCCGCACCACUUAUCGUGGUGGGAGACAGUGUCAGGCGGGCAGUUUGACUGGGGCGGUCGCCUCCUAAAAGGUAACGGAGGCGCUCAAAGGUUCCCUCAGAAUGGUUGGAAAUCAUUCAUAGAGUGUAAAGGCAUAAGGGAGCUUGACUGCGAGACCUACAAGUCGAGCAGGGUCGAAAGACGGACUUAGUGAUCCGGUGGUUCCGCAUGGAAGGGCCAUCGCUCAACGGAUAAAAGCUACCCCGGGGAUAACAGGCUUAUCUCCCCCAAGAGUUCACAUCGACGGGGAGGUUUGGCACCUCGAUGUCGGCUCAUCGCAUCCUGGGGCUGUAGUCGGUCCCAAGGGUUGGGCUGUUCGCCCAUUAAAGCGGUACGCGAGCUGGGUUCAGAACGUCGUGAGACAGUUCGGUCCCUAUCCGUCGUGGGCGUAGGAAAUUUGAGAGGAGCUGUCCUUAGUACGAGAGGACCGGGAUGGACAUACCUCUGGUGUACCAGUUGUCGUGCCAACGGCAUAGCUGGGUAGCUAUGUGUGGACGGGAUAAGUGCUGAAAGCAUCUAAGCAUGAAGCCCCCCUCAAGAUGAGAUUUCCCAACUUCGGUUAUAAGAUCCCUCAAAGAUGAUGAGGUUAAUAGGUUCGAGGUGGAAGCAUGGUGACAUGUGGAGCUGACGAAUACUAAUCGAUCGAAGACUUAAUCAA
RNAcentral lists this ribosomal RNA (2706 nucleotides) under Staphylococcus aureus DAR3518. Its description in RNAcentral is "bacterial LSU rRNA". It matches the Rfam family "Bacterial large subunit ribosomal RNA". Lineage: Bacteria; Bacillati; Bacillota; Bacilli; Caryophanales; Staphylococcaceae. The record is from RNAcentral.